CCGUCGAUCGUGCGUUCAGAGGAGCAGCUAGAAGUUCUUGCAUCUUGAAUCUUUUUCUACUUGCAGAUUUGCUGCUACUAAAUAGUAAGCACUACUAAAUAAACUUGUGAUUAUCACAGGCAGCAUGUACACUGCAAUGCAAACACCAGUGGAGUAGAAGAAGAGUGCUCUGCUACAGCGUACCAAUGUUGUAGGCACCAUGUCUCAAACACUAGUGGAGUAGAGGAAGAGUGCUCUGCUACAGCGUACCAAUGUUGCAGGCACCGUGUCUCAAACACCAGUGGAGUAGAGGAAGAGUGCUCUGCUACGGCGUACCAAUGUUGCAGGCACCGUGUCUCAAACACCAGUGGAGAAGAGGAAGAGUGCUCUGCUACAGCGUACCAAUGUUGCAGGCACAGUGUCUCCAUCAGGGCUCAUCCUGUGGACAGGAUGAGCCCACCAAAACAUGAGCAUUUCUCAGGACCUUAUGCAAAUAUAUAUUUACUUAUUUAUUUAUUCAUUCAUCCAUUUGUGACCUUCAUGGCCCGAGGCAUUAUGGAGAGGAGUGGCACAUAAAUAAAGACACAUGAUUACAGGCUUUCAUAAUUCUUGUUAAUACAAUAUUAGUUAAAGCAAUACAGAGACAGGACUGACUAAUAUGGAAUAACAAGUACAACAAGCUAAAUUAAGCAAGAAUACAAACUUCUCUAUUGGUUGCCUGGUAAUAAAGUACAGCUGAAUCUCGAUAUAAUGAAAUCGCACCCAACACGAGAAUGCAUUCAUUAUAUUCUAUAUUAUUAUAUCACUGAUAAUUGAAAAAAAGAUCGCCAUCAUGUCUGUGCAACAUAAAUGCAAGUGGGAAGCCUCUGACAGGCCAGCAAAGAGUUUUCCCUGGAUUUUGAUGGCCCAAUGCCGGCAUGAUACCCUGGCAUGGGAACAACAUAAAUUACAUACACAUAUUUCGCAUCGUUGCUCAUAACCAAACACACAAUUGGUACAUUAGCUUGCGCACAGUGGUCCAACCAAGCCAGGCUGUUGGCCAAAAUGCACGCACCAGUCCCAAUAGUGCCCUUUGCAGUUGCUCUUGCUGAGUACUGUCUCCGUACAAUUUUUCGCAUGCAGAUUUAAACUUUACUGCUACAGCCACUGCAGUUCUACUGCAGCAGCUGCUGUGUAUGGCACGACCGCACUGCCCCUAUCUUAAGUGCGAUCUGCGAUGUAGACAAUCUAUGCAUCUAGCGCACCUCGCUAUGUUCUGGUCACUUAGUUCGCGUUGAAGCAAGAGGCCACACAGAGUUCAAUUCACUCGCUCCUGCUACGGCACUUCCUCACUCCAGUGUUUUGAUAAAGAGUUUCCGUGGUCAUUGAGUGAGAUGUGUUCAUGUUUGCUUGUGCAUGCAUGACACCAUGCUUGUUAGUUUAGUUAGUGAGCGAAUGUUUACAAGUUUAUACGACUGAUAAAACUAAUAUCCUUACUUUUCGUAUAGCUGCCGACUAAUUUGAUAUCGCAAUCGAUGCUUCGACUUUCGGGCGAAACUGCGACUGUUUUAUUUAUCGCAAAUUUAGUGCAUUGGGAGUAAAUCUUUGUUUUUUCCAAAUGAGAAAGUUGUAUUUCUGUAUGAAAGAAUGAGGUACACGGUACUCUAAAAGACUUCUCUUUUUUUAGGUCAUGGCAAACGGGUGUGCGUUACAAUCAAGAGUGUCUUUUUUUUCUUUAUGGUCAUAGAAGACAGGUGCGCAUUACAACUGAGGGCGCCUUGGAAUCGAGUAAAUAUGGUACAUUUUAGAGUGCAGUUCUUAGGUGCCUGUUCAUGCACUGAGCGGCGGCGGCGUAACCGAGUGAACAAGCACGCCGCAAGAUGAAAGAGCAAACGUGAUGCAGGAUAUGAAAGGUGCGAGGCUCGAAACACGGAGACCAAUGAGAGCGGCCCCUUCAGUAGUUGUGUGCGCAUGGGAAACUGGUGUUGAGAGAUCAACCCAACUGCUUGAUGCGUACUCCUAACUGGUCUCAGCCGGACUGCUCGCUUCCUAUUAUCAUCUACUCGCGCCAGCUCUCGCUCGUGCUAGUUAGUUUGCUUGGUUUGGUCUCGUUAACACUUGUUUUGAUUGUCAUGGUUUGUGAAGGCUUUGUAAUCUGACUCUAUGCACAACGCAAAUUGUGUAGUACUUUGUGGAAGCCAUGCAGCACCAGCAAUUACACGGGAACCUUUGACAAGUCAUGUAUAAAAGCAGACGUGCUUGACCCGCAGAUCGGAUUUUUGAUGAUCGCCAACUCUGCUACGUGUCUCACUCAAAUUCUUUGCCUCAAUAUAUCCCGAAAUGAAAACAUGCAUAGAGCUGCGCUAAAACUUCGCAUUAGAGAGUACCAUAAUCGUGAGUGAAUUUUGUUAAGCACGAAAAAUCAUAUUUGCAACAACAGGCAAGGGAAGUAAAGUAAGCUUUUAAGAAACUUUCAUAAUUAUUAUACUGGUAGUUUGAUUGCAGUUCCAGAAAAUAAAGCAAACAGAUAUUUUAGACUAGUAGCUCUGCUUUCUGCAUUGUAUAUUUGCUUGCAGAGACUGGCCAUGGCAUAGCGGACGCAAUGCUUAGAUUGAAAAUGUGCUUUUAAUGGUUUGGCCCUAAGCAUAUCUGCUUAAUUGUUUUUAUAGUGACGCAAUUUGCUCUGUACAACCCCAAAUAUAUUGAAAUCUCGCAUCUUGGUUCAGGAUCAGAGAAUUUACAAGCUCAUAACUAGGAUUUAGUGUUAUUGACUUAAACUGGAAAAAAAAAAAAAUAAAGGACUGCCGAAGUCAUUUUGCUGAAUUCAAUUUGAAUUGAAAAAGAUCAGUUCCUUCAACUGCUGAGUGUAUAAAUAACUGGGUUUCUCAAAUGUUACUCGAUCUAUGAGAGAAUCUUCAAACUUGCUGUUAGUGGCACUGACGCGAUUCAAGCCUUUCAGCAAGAGCUGUGUGAAUAUUUGCAGUACGCUGUCCUCGAAAGUGUGGUACUGACUGUCUUUUUAUGAUCAUAUUUAACUGAUUGGCCAACAUUAAGUACCGCAGCACUUCGCCUCCUUAGCUCGCCUGUUUCAAGUGUAAACAUCGAGAGGGCAUUCUCUAAACUCAGAUUGAUAAACAGAACAGAUGUGUAUUAACAACAACCACAAUAAAGAAGGCUGGGAGAAUACAUGCAUCUGUAUUAUAACCAGAUUAAUUAAGUAAUUGUGACUUGAUGGGACGUGAAAUUUAUGGUUACAGUGUAGACUCAAUAUCUCCCUCGCUUGUACUUAUGUGUACAUGCUUCUUCAUUCCUGUUCCAGUUUGAUGAAUAAAUGUGCCAUUUUUA
Dermacentor andersoni is the source of this 3303-nucleotide long non-coding RNA. RefSeq lists it as uncharacterized. Lineage: Eukaryota; Metazoa; Arthropoda; Arachnida; Ixodida; Ixodidae. The record is from RefSeq and is a predicted model, not a curated record.